AGGAUGCAGAAAUUCAGAGAAUAUAUGAUGGUUUUAAUGUGCCUUUUUCUCAGUGUGCAACAUUUGAUAGAGAAUUGCUGGAAAUUGUAGAUGCUGUUGAACAAAUGGAUUUUGCAAAAAUCAACAAUACCGCUGUUAAUUAAAUAUUUCCUGACCGUACUAAUUUGACAAGCCCCUGUGUAAGCAGAUUGGAGAUGCAGACACCAAAGAGACAUCGUAAAACAGAUCUAACAUUAAAACCUAAAACAACCGUUGUUACGGCAAUAGUUCACAAUCAACCAGUAAAUAAGGCUCCCAAUGAACGUGUAAAACAAGCAUUAAAAGCUUCUACUACUGUCUCAUCAUGUUCCAGAAGUAAACAAUCGCAACCCAUUUCAUCUGUGGCUUCUAGAAAAUCUAUACCUGUAGAAGACGACAUAACCACCAUUGUUGAUGAUAAAAAGUAUCCCACUGCAGUAGCCACUCAUUGCAGAGCCAAGGGUUUUUCUAACAAUCCAAAAAACUCUUUGAAUGCUGUACAAUUACCAGGAUUGGGACAGAAAACACACCACACAAACAUAACUAAGAAAUCAAGUGUUAAAAGAAAACCUAGUGGUGAGAAUAAUGUUCAAAAUACAAAAAAAAGAACUCUACUCAAAAAUUCUGGUAAUAUCUUAAAACCUGUUGUUCCACUGCAGGAUAUCACAAACACAGUAAAAAACAACACAUGUUUAAGCUUAGGGGUUCCACGGAUAUGUAGUUCAAGGUGUGAGAGCUUAGAAGCAGUUAUUCAAAAAGAAAUUACUAUUUACAAUCUUCUAGAGACUAUCAACAGUAUUCUAAAGACCAGUAAUCUAUAUUUUCAACAGACACCCAUGACCAAUUGACUAUACCUGGUUGGAUGGGGGAUUCGACGUAGUAGGGGGCGACAGUGGUCGCUAAGAAGACAGUAUAGAGAUAGAGCUGUCAGAAAAGCAAUACAGAUAUUACGGCGUGUUGACCGACUACGGCAUAGUGUGUUAUCCAGGGAGCUGGGUAACCAAGCACUAAAUAUGCAGCAAAAUUCAGAUAGGUAUCAUGUAUCUCAGGGCACAACUCCUGUAUCAGACACAAUUACCCCACCAAUCAGAAAUUGUAGAUUGCCAAUCACCCCCCUGAGCCAGAGCUUCAACAUUAAUGCUGGACAGCAUCAAAGUAAUCCACCUGGCAUUUAGAACUCAUAGAUGGGUACCAAAGAAACAUUAAUUGUUUUGGUGCUGUUAUGUAUUAUGAGCAUUUCAGGUUUGUAAACCUAGAUAAGUUAAGAUUGUUUGAUUCAGCAGUACAGGGCGUGCAUGAAGCUGUACAAACAGUUCUACAUAAUUUGCAAUCUGAAGUAAGACCUGGCGACCUAGUUCAGUUAAGAUUUGAAGGUGAUGGAUUUGACAGGCCUUUAUAUGCCUUAAGAAGGGGCAUGGAUGGUCUAGAUGCUGAGUCUUUUUUAAACAAUGUUUCUGGUUUGUUGCAAAGAAAUGCCGAGUGUAUAAGUAGUGGUUGUUUAAGACUUGUGAUCAUAAUUCUUAGAAACAGGGCUGGUGGUGUUAUGAAAUGUAGGAAGAUACGUUCAACUACAUAUAGUUCACUCAUAAACACAAAAAGACGUUGGCUAUUUAAUUUUAACAACUAUGACUCUAACUUGUGUUUGGCUGCUAGUCUCAAAGCCCUUUUAGAUGAACAAUGUGACAUUACUGAUUCAGAACUAAUAGUACAAGCCAGAGAGAUGCACAAAACACUGUGCAUACCUGAUGAACAUCUUGUUAAUUUUAGUGACCUUCAGGCUUUUGAAAAGCUCUUGAAUGUCACUAUUAAAAUACUUUAUCAUAAUCAGGGUUCUUGGCAGCAUUUUUAUACUGAUGGACCCUGUAAGGAUAAAGUGCUCUUUGGUUUGCAUCACAAUGAGCACUAUUACGGCAUUAAAAACAUCAAAGCUUUUAUAGGUCAUGAUUAUUUUUGUCAGUAUUGCCAUUCUAUUUUUCACCACAAGAAUAAUCACUUGUGUAAAUAUUUUUGCAGAACAUGUCAGAUAGAAUUGUGUUGAGGUUAAAGAUGAAAUAUGUAGAUUUCUUGGUUGUCGUUUGGUUUGUCGCUCAGUUGAGUGUUUGGCUUUGCAUAUUGCUUUUGCACAAGAGGGUAAGGUAGAGUGUCAUAGCAAAGUGUAUUGUGACGUGUGUUGUGCAUAAGUUAGGAAAGAUGGUCAUGACUGUACACCCCCAACAUGUAGCAUAUGCCAUGAUGAAAUUGACAUUUUUGACACACAUCACUGUUACAUGACGCCAUACAAACCACCAAAAAAAGAGACUGAUUACAUUGUUUAUGAUUUUGAAUGUAUACAGGAAACGGGUGUUCAUAUACCUAAUUACGUUUAUGCUAAAAAGUUAGAUGAUUCAAAGUCAUGGGAGUUUCAGGGAUCUGAUUGUUUGAAGGAUUUUGUGAACCAUUUUGUUACAACGAAAUUCCAGUCUGUUACAUUUAUAGCACAUAACGGUGGUAGAUAUGUUCCUAUUUAGUGGUUCACAGUGCCUGACUUAAACAUCCGUUUUAUAGAUUCUCUAAAUUUUCUACCAAUGCAACUCGGCAAACUGCCAAAAGCCCUAGGUUUUAAAGAAUCUAAAGGCCAUUUUCCUCAUUUUUCUCUUGUAAGAUGUAUCGAGUCCACGGAUUCAUCCUUACUUGUGGGAUAUUCUCCUCCUUCCCUACAGGAAGUGGCAGAGCACCCACAGCAGAGCUGUCUAUAUAGCUCCACCCACCAGUCAUUCUCUCUGCCUGCUUAACUGCUAGGAAGGGCAAAGAGCUAUGUGGUGACUAAAAUGUUAGUUUUUUACUUCUCAAGCAAAAGUUUAUUAUUUUAAAUGGUACCGGUGUGUACUAUUUACUCUCUGGCAGAAAAGGGAUGAAGAUUUCUGCAAGGAGGAUGAUGAUCUUAGCACUUUGUAACUAAGAUCCACUGCUUUUCUCACAAGGCCUGAAGAGUAUUGGAAAACUUCAGUUGGGAGAACAGUUUGCAGGCUAAGCUGCAUAUGAGGUAUGUUCAGUCUAUAUUUUUCUAGACAGACUGUGUUAAAUCUAGAAAAGGCUGGCAAUAUCCCCAUGAGGGAAGGGUAGCUGUAUUCAGAUACUUUAAUAGGAGUUUCAGCUUGCUUGAAGCGCUCAUUAGUUACUGGUGACACUGUUAGGAAAAAAACGUUUUGUUUUUUGAUGCAUUUAUAACGUUUUUUGAAGGGACUAAAGGGGUCAUUGUGGCUUAGUUUUGUAACUCAUAUGGUUAAUUAAGAGACACUCUGGUGUUUCUCUGAUAGGCCUCAAAAUAUUGAGUGAGGUGGGAGGGGCCUAUUUUCGUGCCUCAGUUGCGCAGUUUCCUUUCCUUUGAGACAUAUCACUGCUUCUCCUGUCGUUUCUGCUAUGUUUGAGGGUUGUUAAAGAAGUUGUUUCCCCCACAAAUCGUUCUGAAGGGCAGGAAGGAGCCACAGCAGAGCUGUGGCAUGGUGCUGAAAGUCUUUUUUUACUGGGUUUAACAUUUUUUCAAUCCGUUUUUGCCAUUAAAGGGUUAAUUGUUUAUUUGCAUUGCUGUGCAAAGUUACUAAGCCUUUAUAAUGCUACUGUAAAAAAUUAGUUAAGUUUACUGCUUUUUUUCUCUUAAAGGCACAGUACCGUUUUAUUUCUAAGUGUUUUUUACUUUGAUUACAGUGUUUUCCAAGCUUGCUUGUUACAUUACUAGCCUGUUUAACAUGUCUGACACCAAGGAAAAUCCUUGUUUAAUAUGUUUGGAAGCCAUUGUGGAACCCCCUCUUAGAAUGUGUCCCAAUUGUACUGAUAUGUCUAUAAACUAUAAAGAACAUAUAUUAGCACUUAAAAAUAGAGCAAUAGAUGAUUCUCAGUCAGAAGUAAAUGAGGGUUCGCCAUCUAGCUCUCCCCAAGUGUCACAACCAGUAACGCCCGCACAAGUGACGCCAAGUACCUCUAGUGCGUCAAAUUCUUUUACUUUACAAGACAUGGCCACAGUUAUGAAUACAACGCUCACAGAGGUUUUAUCUAAACUGCCUGGUUUACAAGGAUAGCGGGACAGCUCUGGGUUUAGAAAAAAUGCUGAGCCGUCUGACACUUCAGUAGCCGUAUCUGAUAUGCCCUGAAGUAGGGGUGAGGGAUUUGUUAUCUGAGGGAGAAAUUUCGGAUUCAGGAAAGACGCUUCCUCCGACCGAUACUGAUAAGACGGCCUUUAAAUUUAAGCUUGAACACCUCCGCUUAUUGCUCAGGGAGGUAUUAGCGACUCUAGAUGAUUGUGACCCUAUAGUGGUUCCAGAGAAAUUGUGUA
This is a long non-coding RNA of Bombina bombina (fire-bellied toad), 4327 nucleotides long. RefSeq lists it as uncharacterized. NCBI's taxonomy places the organism in Eukaryota, Metazoa, Chordata, Amphibia, Anura, Bombinatoridae. The transcript is spliced from 5 exons. The record is from RefSeq and is a predicted model, not a curated record.